UACAGAGGUCCCAAGCGUUGUUCGGAUUCACUGGGCGUAAAGGGCGCGUAGGCGGGAUGGCAAGUCAGUCGUGAAAUCUCUCGGCUCAACCGAGAAACGUCGGCUGAUACUGCCGUUCUUGAGGGAUGCAGAGGAGACUGGAAUUCCCGGUGUAGCGGUGAAAUGUGUAGAGAUCGGGAGGAACACCGGUGGCGAAGGCGGGUCUCUGGGCAUCUCCUGACGCUGAGGCGCGAAAGCGUGGGGAGCAAACGGG
This 253-nucleotide ribosomal RNA is filed under the name uncultured bacterium. RNAcentral's name for it is "partial 16S ribosomal RNA". It matches the Rfam family "Bacterial small subunit ribosomal RNA", at positions 524 to 776 of the family's 1533-position model. The record is from RNAcentral.